This 266-nucleotide ribosomal RNA is filed under the name uncultured bacterium. RNAcentral describes it as "partial 16S ribosomal RNA". It matches the Rfam family "Bacterial small subunit ribosomal RNA", at positions 793 to 1055 of the family's 1533-position model. The record is from RNAcentral.
GUCCACGCUGUAAACGAUGGAUACUAGAUUUGGUGGGUCUUGACCACUGCCGAGUCGGAGCUAACGCAAUAAGUAUCCCGCCUGGGGAGUACGGUCGCAAGAUUAAAACUCAAAGGAAUUGACGGGGGCCCGCACAAGCGGUGGAUCAUGUGGUUUAAUUCGAAGCAACGCGAAGAACCUUACCUGGGUUUGACAUCCCUUGACAACUACAGAAAUGUAGCUUUCGUAGCAAUACGACAAGGUGACAGGUGCUGCAUGGCUGUCGU